This 349-nucleotide long non-coding RNA is filed under the name Mytilus galloprovincialis (Mediterranean mussel). Lineage: Eukaryota; Metazoa; Mollusca; Bivalvia; Mytilida; Mytilidae. The record is from RNAcentral.
UAUAUACAGUACAGCCUGUGACUUUCUCUUAGUAAUGUCCACCCUCUUGUAUGGUCACCUUUAAAUGGUCACCAUUUAUUGGGGUAUUCAAUCUUGAGAUGUUGGCCAUUUAUUGGGAUCAUAAAACAUAGGCUGAUGUUUUAUCUAAUUAUGUUACCUGUUGAAAUCAAUCAGGGUUGAAGUUUUCUGCUUGUGUGUGUCAUUAAAAUUUACCUGUACAGGUAUAUGUAACUAAUGACUCUUCUGAAAUUGACAUUUUAACCUUUUCUUGAAUUUAUAUAAUAAAAUUUUGUUUUAAUCUUUGUUCAUUUAAAUUACUUGUGUAUUUGUUUUGUAUGUUUUGAUUCUG